RNAcentral lists this ribosomal RNA (468 nucleotides) under uncultured bacterium. RNAcentral's name for it is "partial 16S ribosomal RNA". It matches the Rfam family "Bacterial small subunit ribosomal RNA", at positions 28 to 507 of the family's 1533-position model. The record is from RNAcentral.
GACGAACGCUGGCGGCGUGCUUAACACAUGCAAGUCGAACGGAAAGGCCCUGCUUUUGUGGGGUACUCGAGUGGCGAACGGGUGAGUAACACGUGAGUAACCUGCCCUUGACUUUGGGAUAACUUCAGGAAACUGGGGCUAAUACCGGAUAGGAGCUCCUGCUGCAUGGUGGGGGUUGGAAAGUUUCGGCGGUUGGGGAUGGACUCGCGGCUUAUCAGCUUGUUGGUGGGGUAGUGGCUUACCAAGGCUUUGACGGGUAGCCGGCCUGAGAGGGUGACCGGCCACAUUGGGACUGAGAUACGGCCCAGACUCCUACGGGAGGCAGCAGUGGGGAAUAUUGCACAAUGGGCGGAAGCCUGAUGCAGCAACGCCGCGUGCGGGAUGACGGCCUUCGGGUUGUAAACCGCUUUCGCCUGUGACGAAGCGUGAGUGACGGUAAUGGGUAUAGAAGCACCGGCUAACUACGUG